RNAcentral lists this ribosomal RNA (253 nucleotides) under uncultured bacterium. RNAcentral's name for it is "partial 16S ribosomal RNA". It matches the Rfam family "Bacterial small subunit ribosomal RNA", at positions 524 to 776 of the family's 1533-position model. The record is from RNAcentral.
UACGGGGGGGGUAAGCGUUGUUCGGAAUUACUGGGCGUAAAGGGUUCGUAGGUGGCCAACUAAGUCAGACGUGAAAUCCCUCAGCUUAACUGGGGAACUGCGUCUGAUACUGGUCGGCUUGAGUGCAGGAGAGGAACGCGGAAUUCCAGGUGUAGCGGUGAAAUGCGUAGAUAUCUGGAGGAACACCGGUGGCGAAGGCGGCGUUCUGGACUGCAACUGACACUGAGGAACGAAAGCCAGGGGAGCAAACGGG